RNAcentral lists this ribosomal RNA (465 nucleotides) under Vreelandella stevensii. Its description in RNAcentral is "partial 16S ribosomal RNA". It matches the Rfam family "Bacterial small subunit ribosomal RNA", at positions 338 to 795 of the family's 1533-position model. The record is from RNAcentral. Lineage: Bacteria; Pseudomonadati; Pseudomonadota; Gammaproteobacteria; Oceanospirillales; Halomonadaceae.
CCUACGGGGGGCAGCAGUGGGGAAUAUUGGACAAUGGGGGGAACCCUGAUCCAGCCAUGCCGCGUGUGUGAAGAGGGCCCUCGGGUUGUAAAGCACUUUCAGUGAGGAAGAACGCCUGGUGGUUAAUACCCAUCAGGAAAGACAUCACUCACAGAAGAAGCACCGGCUAACUCCGUGCCAGCAGCCGCGGUAAUACGGAGGGUGCGAGCGUUAAUCGGAAUUACUGGGCGUAAAGCGCGCGUAGGUGGCUUGAUAAGCCGGUUGUGAAAGCCCCGGGCUCAACCUGGGAACGGCAUCCGGAACUGUCAAGCUAGAGUGCAGGAGAGGAAGGUAGAAUUCCCGGUGUAGCGGUGAAAUGCGUAGAGAUCGGGAGGAAUACCAGUGGCGAAGGCGGCCUUCUGGACUGACACUGACACUGAGGUGCGAAAGCGUGGGUAGCAAACAGGAUUAGAUACCCGUGUAGUC